CCUACGGGAGGCAGCAGUGAGGAAUCUUGCGCAAUGGGGGAAACCCUGACGCAGCAACGCCGCGUGAGUGAGGAAGGUCUUCGGAUCGUAAAGCUCUGUCAGUUGGAAAGAAACGCCUGUAUGUUAAUACCAUGCAGGUUUGACGGUACCAACAGAGGAAGCACCGGCUAACUCCGUGCCAGCAGCCGCGGUAAUACGGGGGGUGCAAGCGUUGUUCGGAAUUAUUGGGCGUAAAGAGCGUGUAGGCGGCCUGAUGUGUCAGAUGUGAAAGCCCUGGGCUUAACCCAGGAAGUGCAUUUGAAACUGUCAGGCUUGAGUAGGGGAGGGGGAAGUGGAAUUCCUGGUGUAGAGGUGAAAUUCGUAGAUAUCAGGAGGAACACCGGUGGCGAAGGCGACUUCCUGGCCCUAUACUGACGCUGAGACGCGAGAGCGUGGGUAGCAAACAGGAUUAGAUACCCCUGUAGUC
Molecule: ribosomal RNA, 466 nt
Filed under: uncultured Syntrophaceae bacterium
Lineage: Bacteria; Pseudomonadati; Thermodesulfobacteriota; Syntrophia; Syntrophales; Syntrophaceae
Description: bacterial SSU rRNA
Rfam family: Bacterial small subunit ribosomal RNA
Source: RNAcentral